UGCCUUAUAAAUUUUUAAUAAUAAAUUGGCAUGAAAUCAUUAAGGUUCUGGAUGAGAAAAUUAAGAGAUAAGAUGAGAUAAGAUCCUUCAUUAAAAAGGACUCUUCACCUUCUAACGCUAAUUAAGAGGGGGCGGCAAUUAAUUUUUGGUGUGAGACUUGGUGGGCGUAGAGGACUCCUUCCACACUUGAAACAAUUCUAAGUUGGAAAAAACUAUUGGGUUUCGAUGAUGCAGUGGAAUAUAAAUUU
This 248-nucleotide long non-coding RNA is filed under the name Elaeis guineensis (African oil palm). RNAcentral's name for it is "long non-coding RNA (EGUI_LNC044354)". Lineage: Eukaryota; Viridiplantae; Streptophyta; Magnoliopsida; Arecales; Arecaceae. The record is from RNAcentral.